This 404-nucleotide ribosomal RNA is filed under the name uncultured bacterium. Its description in RNAcentral is "partial 16S ribosomal RNA". It matches the Rfam family "Bacterial small subunit ribosomal RNA", at positions 29 to 523 of the family's 1533-position model. The record is from RNAcentral.
AUUGAACGCUAGCGGGAUGCCUUACACAUGCAAGUCGAACGGAGUGGCGAACGGGUGAGUAAUGUAUCUGAACGUGCCCAGUAGCGGGGGAUAACUACGCGAAAGCGUAGCUAAUACCGCAUACUAUUGGAGCCGCCGAUAUCGGAUUAGCUAGUUGGUGGGGUAACGGCGCACCAAGGCGACGAUCCGUAGCUGGUUUGGGAGGACGACCAGCCACGCUGGGAAUGAGACACGGCGAAGACUACUACGGGAGGCAGGGGUGGGGAAUGUUGGACAAGGGGGGAAACGCUGAUGCAGCCAUCCGGCGUGUGCGAUGAAGGCCUUCGGGUAGAAAAGCACUUUUGGCAGGAAAGCGGUACCUGCAGAAUAAGCACCGGAUAACUACGCGCCAGCAGCCGCGAUAC